Molecule: ribosomal RNA, 1494 nt
Filed under: uncultured bacterium
Lineage: Bacteria
Description: bacterial SSU rRNA
Rfam family: Bacterial small subunit ribosomal RNA
Source: RNAcentral
UUAGAGUUUGAUCCUGGCUCAGGAUGAACGCUAGCGGCAGGCCUAAUACAUGCAAGUCGAGCGAGAUUGUUUUAGCAAUAGAACAUGAAAGUGGCGCACGGGUGCGUAACACGUAUGCAAUCUACCUCUAAUAGGGAAAUAGCUUCGAGAAAUCGGAAUUAAUGUCCCAUAACAUAUUUGAAUGGCAUCAUUUGAAUAUCAAACCUCCGGGGAUUAGAGAUGAGCAUGCGCAACAUUAGCUAGUUGGUAAGGUAAUGGCUUACCAAGGCUACGAUGUUUAGGGGGUCUGAGAGGAUGAUCCCCCACACUGGUACUGAGACACGGACCAGACUCCUACGGGAGGCAGCAGUAGGGAAUAUUGGUCAAUGGAGGCAACUCUGAACCAGCCAUGCCGCGUGCAGGAUGACGGCCCUCUGGGUUGUAAACUGCUUUUGUACGGGAAGAAAAAAUACUACGUGUAGUAUAUUGACGGUACCGUAAGAAUAAGGAUCGGCUAACUCCGUGCCAGCAGCCGCGGUAAUACGGAGGAUCCAAGCGUUGUCCGGAUUUAUUGGGUUUAAAGGGUGCGUAGGCGGAUCUUUAAGUCAGUGGUGAAAGCCUGCAGCUCAACUGUAGAAUUGCCAUUGAAACUGAAGAUCUUGAAUUAGGUUAAAGUAGGCGGAAUGUAUCAUGUAGCGGUGAAAUGCUUAGAUAUGAUGCAGAACACCGAUAGCGAAGGCAGCUUGCUGAACCUAUAUUGACGCUGAGGCACGAAAGCGUGGGGAGCGAACAGGAUUAGAUACCCUGGUAGUCCACGCCCUAAACGUUGAUUACUCGUUGUUGGCGAUAUACAGUCAGCGACCAAGCUAAAGCGUUAAGUAAUCCACCUGGGAAGUACGACCGCAAGGUUGAAACUCAAAGGAAUUGACGGGGGCCCGCACAAGUGGAGGAGCAUGUGGUUUAAUUCGAUGAUACGCGAGGAACCUUACCUGGGCUUGGAAGUUAGUGACGUUCUGUGAAAGCAGAAUUCCCUUCGGGGCACAAAACUAGGUGCUGCAUGGCUGUCGUCAGCUCGUGCCGUGAGGUGUUGGGUUAAGUCCCGCAACGAGCGCAACCCCUUUCUUUAGUUGCCAUCAGGUAAUGCUGGGGACUCUAAAGAUACUGCCUACGUAAGUAGUGAGGAAGGUGGGGACGACGUCAAGUCAUCAUGGCCCUUACGUCCAGGGCUACACACGUGCUACAAUGGUCGACACAGAUGGUUGCUACUUAGUAAUAAGAUGCUAAUCCCAAAAAGUCGGCCUCAGUUCGGAUUGAGGUCUGCAACUCGACCUCAUGAAGCUGGAUUCACUAGUAAUCGCAUAUCAGCAAUGAUGCGGUGAAUACGUUCCCGGGCCUUGUACACACCGCCCGUCAAGCCAUGGAAGAUGGGAGUACCUGAAGCCGAUAACCGCAAGGAGUCGUCUAGGGUGAUACCGUUGACUGGGGCUAAGUCGUAACAAGGUAACCAAGGGCGAA